UUAAGCUUUUGUUUUCUUUCUCAAACGAAGGAAAGAGAAGCCCCGUUCGUUCCUCUGUCGUCUCCAUUUCUUUCCUCUCGAAAAUUUGAAUCUGAAAAUUUCUCUCUCCCCGCGCUCGUUGCUGCUCCGCCGUGCAUCAAGCGGCCGUUCCCCUGCCGUCGCCGACGAACCACAUUACGGCCGCCCCUACUCCGGAGGCUAUCGAGAAGUCGAGGACGGUGACUUAACAAAUGUCAAGUGUGACUGCUAGUGUUGCCGGCAAACGAGGGUGAGGACCGCUAAGACAAAGGUGGAGGUCCCGGACCACCCAAUAUUUUCUCCUGCUCCUCCCAGCUCGACGUUUCCACGGGGCGGGCCUCAUCCCGCCCGCGCGUCAAAGUUGAUAACGUAACGUCGCUUACCAACAAAAGCUGACCAACCGUCCAUCCCGCACCUUCGUCCUGUCAUAAUGGUGACCGCGCUUGCAGUUGCAGCGAUUCGGAUAUCCUCGAAAAGCUCGAAACUUUGAUCUCCACGAAUUCCCUAAAACGCCCACCUUCUUCACUCGCUCGACACUCGCUCGACACUCGCUCUCGCUCCGGGCGGGACAGCUCGAGAAGGGCAAAGUUCGAUUCUUUUCCCACACAAGAGCUCGACGUCGGAUGGAGAAAUCCGGGUACGGCCGCGACGGCAUCUACCGGUCGCUCCGGCCGUCCCUGGCGCUCCCCAGGGACCCCGACCUCUCAAUGGUCUCCUUCCUCUUCCGCAACUCCGCCUCCUACGCCGACAAGCCCGCCCUCGUCGAAGCCGACACGGACGAGACGCUGACGUUCGCGCAGUUCGAAUCGAGGGUGAUCAAGCUCGCUCACGGCCUGCUCAGUCUGGGCCUCAGGAAGGGCGACGUGGUGCUGAUCUUCGCCCCGAAUUCCAUCCAGUUCCCUCUCUGUUUCUUCGGGGUCACUUCCAUCGGCGCCAUUGCCACCACCGCGAAUCCCCUGUACACGUCGUUCGAGCUGUCCAAGCAAGUCAAGGACUCUAAUCCGAAGCUGAUCGUGACUGUCCCCGGACUGUGGGAAAAAGUCAAGGACUUGGAUCUCCCGGCCGUGAUCUUGGGGGGUUCCAAGAGUUUACCUCCGCAGAUUUCGUCCAGAUCAAGAAUCCUGAGCUUCCACGACCUGGUGAGCCUCGGAGAUGGCGCUUCCCGUUUCCCCAAGGUCGGUGUCAAGCAGGGCGACGUGGCGGCGCUCUUGUACUCCUCCGGUACGACGGGGACGAGCAAAGGCGUGAUCUUGACUCACGGGAAUUUCAUCGUGGCAUCCCUGAUGAUGACCAUGGAUCAAGAAAUGGCGGGGGACAUGCACCGUGUGUUCCUCUGCGUCCUGCCCAUGUUCCACAUGUUCGGGCUCGCGGUGAUCGCUUAUUCGCAGCUCCAGAAGGGGAACGCGCUCGUGUCGAUGGGGAGGUUCGAAUUCGAUUCGCUCUUAAGGGCGGUCGAGAAGUACAGGAUCACGCAUUUGUGGGUUGUCCCCCCCAUUGUACUUGCUUUGGCUAAGCAGAGUGCGGUGAGGAAGUAUGACCUCUCGUCCUUGAAGCACAUUGGUUCCGGCGCUGCGCCUUUAGGGAAGGAUGUGAUGGAGGAUUGUGCUAAGAAUUUCCCACAGGCCGACGUGAUGCAGGGUUAUGGUAUGACAGAAACUUGUGGGAUCGUCUCUGUGGAGAAUGCAAAUUUCGGCCCUCGGCAUACUGGUUCCGCUGGACAACUAGUUGCAGGAGUUGAAGCUCAAGUUAUCAGCGUGGAUACACUAAAAUCUCUUCCCCCUAAUCAGUUAGGGGAAAUAUGGGUUCGUGGACCUAACAUGAUGAAAGGAUAUUAUAACAAUCCACAAGCAACUAAAUUGACAAUUGAUAACAAGGGUUGGGUGCACACUGGAGACCUUGGAUAUUUUGAUGAGGAAGGGCAACUAUAUGUUGUUGAUCGAAUCAAAGAGCUCAUCAAGUACAAAGGUUUUCAGAUUGCUCCAGCUGAGCUUGAAGGACUCCUUCUUUCACAUCCUGAAAUUUUAGAUGCUGUUGUCAUUCCAUUUCCUGAUGCUGAAGCUGGUGAAGUUCCUAUUGCAUAUGUCGUUCGCUCACCUACCAGCUCUCUAACUGAAGAGGAAGUCCAGAAAUUCAUUGCCAAUCAGGUUGCACCAUUCAAAAGACUAAGGCGGGUGACAUUCGUCAACAGCGUCCCAAAGUCUGCUUCCGGCAAAAUAUUGAGACGUGAGCUGAUUGCAAAAGUACGAGCAAAGAUAUAGCUGUGCUUGCUCGAUGCGUGGAUCCCCCCCCCAACCCCCCGGCAGCGGGGGCGAUUAUAUUGCACCCUGCUGAUGUUAUUGUUGCUUCAAAUAAGUUGUAGUAAGGUUCUUUAAUCUGCAAUUCUGCAGUAUGAUAGAACAAAUAAGAGAAGCACAGCUGCAACAGUACUAUUUGAUAGAAUACAUGUACAGGAUUUGCGAGAAUCACUUUUCCUGGGACGUGUAUUCCACGUUCUUCCCAGAUUGUUGAAGCUUUGUGUCUUGAAGCUUUGUGUAGUGCAACUUCUAAUGCAAAUUAAAAAGAACGUGUAUCUGUAUUACUUUCCCUCGA
Molecule: RNA transcript, 2607 nt
Organism: Eucalyptus grandis
Lineage: Eukaryota; Viridiplantae; Streptophyta; Magnoliopsida; Myrtales; Myrtaceae
Gene name: 4-coumarate--CoA ligase-like 7
Exons: 7
Source: RefSeq, a predicted model, not a curated record